GCCCCCAUGGUGUAGUCCGGCCAAUCAUCCAGCCUUUUCGAGGCUGGGACGUGGGUUCGAAUCCCGCUGGGGGCA
This 75-nucleotide transfer RNA is filed under the name Candidatus Woesearchaeota archaeon. RNAcentral describes it as "tRNA-Glu". It matches the Rfam family "tRNA". From Rfam's summary of the family: Transfer RNA (tRNA) molecules are approximately 80 nucleotides in length. Their secondary structure includes four short double-helical elements and three loops (D, anti-codon, and T loops). Lineage: Archaea; Nanobdellati; Candidatus Woesearchaeota. The record is from RNAcentral.